UAAGUUCCGACCCGCACGAAAGGCGUAACGAUUUGGGCACUGUCUCAACGAGAGACUCGGUGAAAUCAUAGUACCUGUGAAGAUGCAGGUUACCCGCGACAGGACGGAAAGACCCCGUGGAGCUUUACUGUAGCCUGAUAUUGAAAUUCGGCACAGCUUGUACAGGAUAGGUAGGAGCCUUUGAAACGUGAGCGCUAGCUUACGUGGAGGCGUUGGUGGGAUACUACCCUAGCUGUGUUGGCUUUCUAACCCGCACCACUUAUCGUGGUGGGAGACAGUGUCAGGCGGGCAGUUUGACUGGGGCGGUCGCCUCCUAAAAGGUAACGGAGGCGCUCAAAGGUUCCCUCAGAAUGGUUGGAAAUCAUUCAUAGAGUGUAAAGGCAUAAGGGAGCUUGACUGCGAGACCUACAAGUCGAGCAGGGUCGAAAGACGGACUUAGUGAUCCGGUGGUUCCGCAUGGAAGGGCCAUCGCUCAACGGAUAAAAGCUACCCCGGGGAUAACAGGCUUAUCUCCCCCAAGAGUUCACAUCGACGGGGAGGUUUGGCACCUCGAUGUCGGCUCAUCGCAUCCUGGGGCUGUAGUCGGUCCCAAGGGUUGGGCUGUUCGCCCAUUAAAGCGGUACGCGAGCUGGGUUCAGAACGUCGUGAGACAGUUCGGUCCCUAUCCGUCGUGGGCGUAGGAAAUUUGAGAGGAGCUGUCCUUAGUACGAGAGGACCGGGAUGGACAUACCUCUGGUGUACCAGUUGUCGUGCCAACGGCAUAGCUGGGUAGCUAUGUAUGGACGGGAUAAGUGCUGAAAGCAUCUAAGCAUGAAGCCCCCCUCAAGAUGAGAUUUCCCAACUUCGGUUAUAAGAUCCCUCGAAGAUGACGAGGUUAAUAGGUUCGAGGUGGAAGCGUGGUGACACGUGGAGCUGACGAAUACUAAUCGAUCGAAGACUUAAUCAAUUUUUAAA
This 954-nucleotide ribosomal RNA is filed under the name Enterococcus faecium. RNAcentral describes it as "bacterial LSU rRNA". It matches the Rfam family "Bacterial large subunit ribosomal RNA", at positions 1977 to 2925 of the family's 2925-position model. Lineage: Bacteria; Bacillati; Bacillota; Bacilli; Lactobacillales; Enterococcaceae. The record is from RNAcentral.